This 707-nucleotide long non-coding RNA is filed under the name Nicotiana benthamiana. RNAcentral's name for it is "long non-coding RNA (NBEN_LNC013863)". The record is from RNAcentral. Lineage: Eukaryota; Viridiplantae; Streptophyta; Magnoliopsida; Solanales; Solanaceae.
GCGAUUUAUUUUUCAAAGUUGUUGUUGAAUUCAGGAGCCCGCCUGAAGAGAGGAAAGGCGAUUUUAUUUUCAAAAAAAUGUUGAUGAAGUCAGGAGUCCACCUGAAUAGAGGAAAGGCGAUUUUAUUUUCAAAGAUGUUAUUAAAGUUAGGAGCCCGCCUGAAGAGAGGAAUAACAUUUUUAUUUUUUUGAAGUUGUUGUUGAGGUUAGGAUACCGCCUGUAGAACAGAGGAAUACAUUCGAGUUCAAGUCGGUAGGCAGUAAUGAGAUGGUUACACCAGAAAACCCCCAGGGUAAAUCCAAAUUCAGAAAUCAGAAGGAAGGAAACAAUUCCCAUAAGAAGGCAGCUCAAGCUUUGAAAGGAAAGUAAUCCGAAGCUCACAAGAAGGAAAUAAACAGUUCAAGUUCGACAAUCAAGAGAAGCCGAUAAGGCAAGUCAGAAAUGAAGAAUCAUCAUAGGAAACACAAAAGCAAACAAGGCAAGAAGAGCAAGUUGGAGAUAAGAUUUUGUAGUCCAUAAACUAGUAUAGUCUAGCAUCUUAUUUUCUUUUAGCACAGUGUAAUAAGAAGAUCGGUAAAACAGUAGUGACAACAUGCACCAGCAGUAAUAGAAAAUUGCAGUCCCAUGGUAGUCCCAGCUACCAAAACUUCCCGAACUACAUUAACCUGAUUCCGUUUUAGUCAGGGAUAUGUAGGAGACCUUUGAAG